RNAcentral lists this ribosomal RNA (253 nucleotides) under uncultured bacterium. RNAcentral's name for it is "partial 16S ribosomal RNA". It matches the Rfam family "Bacterial small subunit ribosomal RNA", at positions 524 to 776 of the family's 1533-position model. The record is from RNAcentral.
UACGUAGGGGGCAAGCGUUGUCCGGAUUUAUUGGGCGUAAAGAGCGUGUAGGCGGCUUUACAGGUCCGUUGUGAAAACUCGAGGCUCAACCUCGAGACGCCGGUGGAAACCGUAAAGCUAGAGUCCAGAAGAGGAGAGUGGAAUUCCUGGUGUAGCGGUGAAAUGCGCAGAUAUCAGGAGGAACACCCGUGGCGAAAGCGGCUCUCUGGGACGGUACUGACGCUGAGACGCGAAAGCGUGGGGAGCGAACAGG